ACACAAGUGCUGUGUAUCACAAUACUGCUGGGACUGACGUACAGCGAAAACUCACUGGUAAAGGCGGCAGCAGUGAGAGCUCUAGGCGUAUACAUCCUCUUUCCCUGCCUGAGAGAGGAUGUGAUGUUUGUGGCAGACACGGCUAAUGCCAUCCUCACUGCUCUGGAUGACCGCUCACCCAACGUUCGUGCAAAGGCAGCCUGGUCGCUUGGCAACCUCACGGACACGCUCAUUGUCAACAUGCAGUCAGUGGGGUUGGAGUUUCAGGAGGAGUUCUCUGAUAUGCUGCUUCUGAACAUGCUGAGAUCUGCCACUAAAGCUUCAGGAGAU
Molecule: long non-coding RNA, 330 nt
Organism: Sinocyclocheilus rhinocerous
Lineage: Eukaryota; Metazoa; Chordata; Actinopteri; Cypriniformes; Cyprinidae
Exons: 3
Source: RefSeq, a predicted model, not a curated record